CCUACGGGUGGCAGCAGUGGGGAAUAUUGCACAAUGGGGGAAACCCUGAUGCAGCGACGCCGCGUGAGUGAAGAAGUCUUUCGGUAUGUAAAGCUCUAUCAGCAGGGAAGAAAUAGCGACCUUUGGUUCGCCAUACGGUACCUGACUCAGAAGCCCCGGCUAACUACGUGCCAGCAGCCGCGGUAAUACGUAGGGGGCAAGCGUUAUCCGGAUUUACUGGGGGUAAAGGGGGCGUAGACGGCAGCACAAGUCUGAAGUGAAAUGCCGGGGCUUAACCCCGGAACUGCUUUGGAAACUGUGAAGCUAGAGUGCAGGAGAGGUAAGUGGAAUUCCUAGUGUAGCGGUGAAAUGCGUAGAUAUUAGGAGGAACACCAGUGGCGAAGGCGGCUUACUGGACUGUAACUGACGUUGAGGCUCGAAAGCGUGGGUAUUGAACAGGAUUAGAUACCCUGGUAGUC
This 458-nucleotide ribosomal RNA is filed under the name uncultured bacterium. RNAcentral's name for it is "partial 16S ribosomal RNA". It matches the Rfam family "Bacterial small subunit ribosomal RNA", at positions 338 to 795 of the family's 1533-position model. The record is from RNAcentral.